CCUACGGGAGGCAGCAGUGGGGAAUAUUGGGCAAUGGGCGCAAGCCUGACCCAGCAACGCCGCGUGAAGGAAGAAGGCUUUCGGGUUGUAAACUUCUUUUCUCAGGGACGAAGCAAGUGACGGUACCUGAGGAAUAAGCCACGGCUAACUACGAGCCAGCAGCCGCGGUAAUACGUAGGUGGCAAGCGUUAUCCGGAUUUACUGGGUGUAAAGGGCGUGUAGGCGGGAGUGCAAGUCAGAUGUGAAAACCACGGGCUCAACCUGUGGCCUGCAUUUGAAACUGUAGUUCUUGAGUAAGGGAGAGGCAUGCGGAAUUCCUGGUGUAGCGGUGAAAUGCGUAGAUAUUAGGAGGAACACCGGUGGCGAAGGCGGUCUGCUGGACAGCAACUGACGCUGAGGCGCGAAAGCGUGGGGAGCAAACAGGAUUAGAUACCCUUGUAGUC
This 443-nucleotide ribosomal RNA is filed under the name uncultured bacterium. RNAcentral's name for it is "partial 16S ribosomal RNA". It matches the Rfam family "Bacterial small subunit ribosomal RNA", at positions 338 to 795 of the family's 1533-position model. The record is from RNAcentral.